Molecule: long non-coding RNA, 2908 nt
Filed under: Coturnix japonica (Japanese quail)
Lineage: Eukaryota; Metazoa; Chordata; Aves; Galliformes; Phasianidae
Description: lncRNA (ENSCJPG00005001925.1)
Source: RNAcentral
AUGUACUGGUUUUCUUUCAAUCUCAGGACUGCUGUGAAAAGCAGUAUCAAGCUUUUGGAGCUGGACCAGCUCCAAGGAAUGACAGGGCCAGAAGGUGAAUCUAUUCUGGACAAUAAGGAGGGAUUUGUAGAGGAAAUAAGGUAUCAGGAGAUAGUGAGAGAUGGAUGGAUUUACUUGACCCAAAGAGAAAAAGCUGCUCUGCCCAAAUCAAAUUUCUGAUGACAGCAACAGGAUCAAAAAUUUGACUCAGACAGCAGAAAUGGUAAUGUGAACUGCUUCCUAUCUACAGCGAAGCUAUGAAAACAGAAUUCAAGUGUAGAAGGUCAGUUACAAACUUAUAACACAAUUUACAAACAUGGUCUUACUGGGGAAAAGAAACACUGGAACUCAGCCUCAGAGGAGAAGAAAUACUAUAGAAAUGCUCCAUACCCAGAACUGCAAAGGCUUCAGGCUUGAUUUGGAUUUUAUAGUAUAGGUUAUUUAUCUUGAAUCGUAGUUCCUACAGCUAUUUUUCAUCUGAAAAUCUCAGUUUUCAUUAAGAGAACAUAUUGUUGCCAUUGUGGCCGUAGAGGAGCACAUGAAAAUAGAAAAAUCCCCAAUUCAACUGUUCCUCUACUGUCAUAAAGCAAACAAAUGGGGAAAAAAAAAGAAACCAACAACAAAGAAGCAUGAAGCCAAACUUAAAAUGGCAUUGUUGCUCCAGGAGGUGGGGAUAUAGGAUGAACAAACAAACAUCAAAAACACUAAAUGCAAGGAGACUGACAAUGAAAAAGUGACAGCUGGCCAUGCUGAAUGUGGGAGGAAAAUGUAAGUAUUUACAAGGGCUGCUCCAAAAGUAAUGCCUCCUACUUUAUUCUCUUGGCUCACAAUGUCAGAGGCAGAUGUUGGUGCGAUGGCAGUAGAGGCUGAACAAUGUAACAUCACGUUAUAUUUUGUUGCCAUGUAGCAGAUGGCAGCAGAAGGGCCCUCGGACACAGUGAUGUGGCAAUGGGUAUGGAGAAAAGUUGUUUUGUUUUUUAAGGGGUAAUAACUGUAUCAGAGUUAUGUAUUUCUUAUGUAGUAACACAUAAUCUACUAUCAAUUUGUUUGAGAGCUGCCUUAAAUAGAAUGUAAAAGAAGGCAGUAAGUUAGGUCAGUUAGCACCUGGGACAGUAUAAUGGUCAUGGCUCAGCUGUCUCCCUUACUAGCAUAAGGUAUUUGGGGAGCUAAAUAGCCUGCUAGAGGCAACAAGAUCUGUAGUGUGGCAGUAUCUGUGGGAAGGAAAGAAGAAACCUUUCUCCUAUUUAUUUCACAAGAGCAGAAUAGUAAACCUCAUUCUUAAGAAUUUCCCAUGCCAGUUCUCUAUUCCUGCUCCACCCUGUCUUUCUAUCCACCUUUUUCAAUGGAAAGGAAUUCUAGUAUCCUCCUCUGCUAAGUAUACAGUGCCUUUCCCACUGAGAAAUACUGAGUCAUUUCUGUUCUAUUUUAAGCAAGUUCUCCUCCUCUGAAGAAAACAAUAUGCAAAGAAACUGCAUUAAUGCUACUCUAAAUCAUUGAUGUCAGCUGCUGUUUGCCAGUGAACAACUGGUGUGAGAAGCAGCUGUUAAAGGUGAAAUGCUGUCUUAGACACCUGUUAGCUGUAAUGAGAACUCUGGAACUGAAGCAACUUUGCAACUGAAGGAACCCUGGAACAUUCGUCUCAGAGCAAGUUAUAGCUGAUCACUUAAUAGCUUGAAAUUCAAACAGCGUUAAAAUAGGCAGCACAAGACAAUCGUCCUAGAUUACAGUCUCAUGUAUGGGGGGGAAAAAGGUUGAUUGGAAAUCCAUUUCAAGAAGGCUGCUAAAGAUUGCUGGAGAAGUCACCUCCCAAGCUAAAGGAAGCACAGGGCUCCCAGCUUCUCAGAGCUGGAAAGUAGAAUGAAGCCUGACUAAAGUACAUCAAGUCCCAGCUUGUUUAACUUUCUCCGCUAAUAGAACAUAAUAUACGCAUCUUUCUUUGACUCAAGGGUUUCUUUCAAAACAAGAUUAUAGACACUGGAAAAACUGACUUUGGUUCCAGCUCUUUCCUGUGAUCUGUCGAACACACCUUUCAUAAUGUAACAGUUAGAGGUCAUAUGGAGUAUAAGAAUGAAUGAAUAAGUGACACUGGAGAGAAGCUUUAGUUUUUCAGUGUCAUUUCUUGAUGUAAAAUACUCUGAUCAUAUGUAUGUGUGUUUAAUGAAAAUCUCAUGACUGAAGCUAAAAUCUUGAAUUGAUUUUUAGGAUUAAUUUUUUAAUUUUAAAUUCAUUCAGACUCUUUUCCUCCCAUCUAUACAUUCGUACCUGUUUAGAGCUUCAUUGACUUCAAAGGUGAGCAAAUUUGAGGAAAAAAAAUAUGGCUAAGUCUUUUUAAAACAAAAUAGCAGUGAAGUCUACAUAGCUGUGGAUAGAGCAAAACUCUGGAAGUUCAGACUAAAGAAUUUCUGCUCAUGUUGAAAUAUAAGAAAUUGGAUCUAGAAAACCUUUGGAAUCUUUACAGUACGUAGGUAAAUUGAACAAUAAUUUCAUUUAUCUCUUUGGAAAAACUAUCAACAACAGUAAAGUAUUGUGAGACUGCCAAGUAAAUAUCUUAGCUUUUAUAGGGCAACUUACCUAGCAGCACUUUAACUAUGACUGAUAAGCAAUGGACAUUUUUUGUAUGUAUGUCUCGUGUACUUCCCAGAAAAGGAGUAGGGACAGAACUCAAAUAAUGAAUAUCAAAACUAUAGGCAAUAGCAGUGAGAAAUUAGACUAUGGUUAAUCCGUGUAUGGAGUCAUGCUUAACACAGUCCAAUUCUGUGUCACAUCUUGAAAUGAUUUGUUCAUUGGCAGUGGGAAGGGCAAGUAAUUUACUGUCACUAAGUUUAGUGAUGCUAAUAAAAAGGUGUUGAAGCAUAACUACUCUUGGGUG